AAGGAUCAUUAGUGAAUACUAGGACGUUCAAUUUAACUUGAAGUCCGAACUCUCACUUUCUAACCCUGUGCAUUUGUUUUGGUUAGUAGGAUUCGUCUGAACACCUCUUCAUUUACAAACACAAAGUCUAUGAAUGUAUAAAGUUUAUAACAAAACAAAACUUUCAACAACGGAUCUCUUGGCUCUC
Molecule: unclassified non-coding RNA, 187 nt
Filed under: uncultured fungus
Lineage: Eukaryota; Fungi
Description: partial contains 5.8S ribosomal RNA, internal transcribed spacer 2, and large subunit ribosomal RNA
Source: RNAcentral